GCCAGGUUCUGCCCGCAGCUCUCUGCCGCUCGUGGUGGGCGGAGCCUGCCGCCAGGUUCUGCCCGCCACUCUCUGCCGCUCGUGGUGGGAUGUCGCUCCAGGACUUCGCUUCAGACAUUGCCCCUCUACAUACCUGACCCCAGGGAUAUCUCAGAAGAGGGGUGGACCAAGAUUGUAAGGCUCAUGCAGGGUCCCCUGGGAUUAUGAAGAAAUCAGGGAGGAUUUUCAAAAACCAGCCUACUGACAUUACACCAAGUAAACACUGAUUAUUAAUUCCAUCCACAGAACAAUCUCUGAGACCAGAGACCUAUUCAGUAAGAAUUCUGGGGGAGGAAGUUGAAUCAAUGACAACUUUAGAGGCUAUUUCAAGAAAUUUAAGUCUUUGAUGAAA
Molecule: long non-coding RNA, 391 nt
Organism: Orcinus orca (killer whale)
Lineage: Eukaryota; Metazoa; Chordata; Mammalia; Artiodactyla; Delphinidae
Exons: 3
Source: RefSeq, a predicted model, not a curated record